Molecule: small nuclear RNA, 96 nt
Filed under: Microcebus murinus (gray mouse lemur)
Lineage: Eukaryota; Metazoa; Chordata; Mammalia; Primates; Cheirogaleidae
Source: RNAcentral
GUGCUCACUUCGGCGUAUACAACUGGAAUGAUGCAAAGAUUAGCACGGCCCCUGUGCAAGGACGACACGCAAAUUUGUGAAGCGUUCCACAGUUGU